UACGUAGGGGGCAAGCGUUGUCCGGAUUUACUGGGCGUAAAGCGCACGCAGGCGGUCUCCUACAUCUUGGGUGACAGGUCCCGGCUCAACUGGGGCAGUGUCCGGGAAAUGGGGAGACUUGAGGGCUUCAGAGGGACGCGGAAUUCCAGGUGGAGCGGUGAAAUGCGUAGAGAUCUGGAAGAACACCGAUGGCGAAGGCAGCGUUCUGGGAAGCAUCUGACGCUCAGGUGCGAAAGCCAGGGGAG
Molecule: ribosomal RNA, 245 nt
Filed under: uncultured bacterium
Lineage: Bacteria
Description: partial 16S ribosomal RNA
Rfam family: Bacterial small subunit ribosomal RNA
Source: RNAcentral